This is a non-coding RNA of Paramuricea clavata, 805 nucleotides long. Lineage: Eukaryota; Metazoa; Cnidaria; Anthozoa; Malacalcyonacea; Plexauridae. The record is from the annotation of a GenBank genome assembly.
ACGCGAUCAAGGACGAAAAUGCUAGAGUUGACACGUCAGUUUUAUGUCAUUCGGUCACGAACUACACGAAGUUUAAACUUUGAGUUUUGCGGUUCCUUGUCGAUGUAUAUGCUUUGUAUGCUUUAUAUAAACAGGCUUACAAUGAUUUCAAGAUAUUUUUUAGUGGGAAUUAUUGCAAAAUUUAAGCACAAACAAAAUCAUAACAUCACCGUCAGGGAUGCCGGAACCACGGGUGCAGCGGGUGCAAGUGCACCCCUUGCCUUUUCAACUUUGUGGGUGCAGUGCGGGUGCAGACUCAAUGGGUGUAUCGGGUGCACAAAACUUUUACAGCAGACAGAAUUAAACGUCGCUUGAGGAUGUGUGUGGGGGUGUUCCACCCCGCAGUCGUCAGGAAUUCGGCAAAGUUCAGUGUUAUCCAUUUGGCGAAAGGUGAAACGGAAAGCAUUACUUAUGGAAUUUUUAUUGAAGCAUUACGGAGGAAUUGUGCCUAAAUAAUUGUAUUCGGUCCGAAAAAAAUUGAAGACGGGGAGGGAGGUCGACACGAAUGUUGGAUCAUGAAGCCAUUACAUUUUCAUUGGUGCCCUUUUCUUAUGGAGUAUGCCCUUUUGUUAACCAAUUGCACCCCUUGCCCUCAGCAACUUCCGGCAUCCCUGAUCACCGUUCUAGCGCGCGUGUUUUAUACUGACAGCUAUAUUCCAGGAUAAAUUGCAACCACGAGGUUGGAUAAAUUGUUAUUUUUCAAACUUUAAAAGUUAUUCACGACACAUAUUUCUGUUGUGAUGGUUUGUAUUGUGCUUGUAUCUAA